RNAcentral lists this ribosomal RNA (1281 nucleotides) under Triticum aestivum (bread wheat). RNAcentral describes it as "partial small subunit ribosomal RNA". Lineage: Eukaryota; Viridiplantae; Streptophyta; Magnoliopsida; Poales; Poaceae. The record is from RNAcentral.
AUGGCGAAGCCCCGCCGCGGCCGCUCCGGCUCGCGGUCCUCGUCGGGCUCCUCCUCCCGCUCCGCGUCCUCGGGCUCCUCCCGCUCGCGCUCGCGCUCCCGCUCCCUCUCGUCGUCCUCCUCAUCGCCCGCCCGCUCCCGGGGCCGCUCCCCUCCCGCCGCCAAGCGCAGUUCACCUGGAGCAAAGAAAGGUCGAUCACCUUCACCCGCUCUCAAAAAAGGGUCACCAUCAAGGAAAGGCCGCUCAUCAUCUCCCCCACCGAAGAAAGCUUCACCUCCUAGGAAAGCAUCUCCUCCUCCUCAGUCGGUUGUACUACAUGUUGAUCAUCUAUCCCGAAAUGUGAAUGAGGCUCAUUUGAAGGAGAUAUUUGGAAAUUUUGGUGAAGUGGUGAAUGUGGAGCUAUCAAUGGACAAAUUUGUUAAUCUCCCUCGUGGGUAUGGAUACAUCGAGUUCAAGAAGAGGACUGAUGCUGAGAAGGCUCUUCUUUACAUGGAUGGUGGGCAAAUUGAUGGAAAUGUUGUCAAGUUGAAGUUCACACUGCCACCACGCCAAAGGGCUUCUUCACCUUUAAAGCCACCUCCUCCUCCCCCCAAAAGAGAUGCUCCUCCGAAUGAUAAAGUUGCUAUUGGUGCUGAAAAGGAUGCUCAGCAGCGGCCUGGGGGAUCAGCAUCUCCACGAAAGAAGCCAGCUUCUCCGCCGCGAAAGAGGUCUCCUCCAAAUAGAAGGGCUGAGUCACCCCGGCGUCCACCCAAUCCAUCUCCAAGGCGUCGUGCUGAUUCUCCUAUUCGUCGUCGACCAGAUCUUUCCCCUGUUAGGCGUGGUGAUAGAAGACCAGGAUCUCCAAUUAGAAGACGUUCUCCUUCACCUAGAAGGCAUAGGUCACCAAUGCGGAGGGGUCGUGGCAGCUUAUCACCGCGCAGACGCUCCCCGGGGCCUCCUAGGCGCUCACCUGGGCCUCCCAGACGGCGAUCACCACCACCAAGGAGGUUGAGGAGUCCUCCAAGAAGGCCACCACCACCACCUCCGCGUCGUCACAGCCGCUCCCCUCCUCCUCGCCGCCCUCUUCACUCCCGCUCCAGAUCAAUUUCUCCACGCAGGGGCCGGGGACCACCAUUGAGGCGUGGAAGGUCAGAUUCAUCCUAUUCUGCAUCACCCAGUCCUCCAAGAAAGGGACCGAGAAGGGUGUCAAGGAGCCGCAGCCCUAGAAGGCCUCCCAGAGGAAGGAGUGGCUCUAGCGACAGCGGGAGCAGCAGCUCUUCCCCAACCCCAAGGCGCAGGUAG